AUGAACGCUGGCUACAGGCUUAACACAUGCAAGUCGAGGGGAAACGACGGGGAAGCUUGCUUCCCCGGGCGUCGACCGGCGCACGGGUGAGUAACGCGUAUCCAACCUGCCUCUGACUGAGGGAUAACCCGUCGAAAGUCGGCCUAAUACCUCAUGGUAUCGUCUGCGGGCAUCCAACGACGAUUAAAGAUUUCAUCGGUCAGGGAUGGGGAUGCGUCUGAUUAGCUUGUUGGCGGGGUAACGGCCCACCAAGGCUACGAUCAGUAGGGGUUCUGAGAGGAAGGUCCCCCACAUUGGAACUGAGACACGGUCCAAACUCCUACGGGAGGCAGCAGUGAGGAAUAUUGGUCAAUGGGCGAGAGCCUGAACCAGCCAAGUGGCGUGCAGGAAGACGGCCCUAUGGGUUGUAAACUGCUUUUAUGCGGGGAUAAAGUGAGGGACGUGUCCCUCAUUGCAGGUACCGCAUGAAUAAGGACCGGCUAAUUCCGUG
Molecule: ribosomal RNA, 490 nt
Filed under: uncultured bacterium
Lineage: Bacteria
Description: partial 16S ribosomal RNA
Rfam family: Bacterial small subunit ribosomal RNA
Source: RNAcentral